AGAGUUUGAUCAUGGCUCGAGGACGAACGCUGGCGGCACGCUUAACACAUGCAAGUCGAACGGAGUUAUUCGGAGCUUGCUCUGAAUAACUUAGUGGCGGACGGGUGAGUAACACGUGAGCAACCUGCCUUUGAGAGUGGAAUAGCUUCUGGAAACGGAUGGUAAUACCGCAUAAUAUUAUCUGACCGCAUGAUCGGAUAAUCAAAGAUUUAUCGCUCAAAGAUGGGCUCGCGGCUGAUUAGAUAGUUGGUGGGGUAACGGCCUGCCAAAGCGACGAUCAGUAGCCGGCCUGAGAGGGCGGACGGCCACAUUGGGACUGAGACACGGCCCAAACUCC
RNAcentral lists this ribosomal RNA (337 nucleotides) under uncultured Ruminococcus sp. RNAcentral describes it as "bacterial SSU rRNA". It matches the Rfam family "Bacterial small subunit ribosomal RNA", at positions 8 to 339 of the family's 1533-position model. Lineage: Bacteria; Bacillati; Bacillota; Clostridia; Eubacteriales; Oscillospiraceae. The record is from RNAcentral.